This 751-nucleotide ribosomal RNA is filed under the name uncultured bacterium. RNAcentral's name for it is "bacterial SSU rRNA". It matches the Rfam family "Bacterial small subunit ribosomal RNA", at positions 97 to 850 of the family's 1533-position model. The record is from RNAcentral.
GGCGGACGGGUGAGUAAUGCAUAGGAAUCUGCCCGAUAGUGGGGGAUAAUCUUGGGAAACCCAGGCUAAUACCGCAUACGUCCUACGGGAGAAAGGGGGCUCCGGCUCCCGCUAUCGGAUGAGCCUAUGUCGGAUUAGCUGGUUGGUGAGGUAAAGGCUCACCAAGGCGACGAUCCGUAGCUGGUCUGAGAGGAUGAUCAGCCACAUCGGGACUGAGACACGGCCCGAACUCCUACGGGAGGCAGCAGUGGGGAAUAUUGGACAAUGGGGGCAACCCUGAUCCAGCCAUGCCGCGUGUGUGAAGAAGGCCCUCGGGUUGUAAAGCACUUUCAGUGAGGAAGAACGCCUGGUGGUUAAUACCCAUCAGGAAAGACAUCACUCACAGAAGAAGCACCGGCUAACUCCGUGCCAGCAGCCGCGGUAAUACGGAGGGUGCGAGCGUUAAUCGGAAUUACUGGGCGUAAAGCGCGCGUAGGUGGCUUGAUAAGCCGGUUGUGAAAGCCCCGGGCUCAACCUGGGAACGGCAUCCGGAACUGUCAAGCUAGAGUGCAGGAGAGGAAGGUAGAAUUCCCGGUGUAGCGGUGAAAUGCGUAGAGAUCGGGAGGAAUACCAGUGGCGAAGGCGGCCUUCUGGACUGACACUGACACUGAGGUGCGAAAGCGUGGGUAGCAAACAGGAUUAGAUACCCUGGUAGUCCACGCCGUAAACGAUGUCGACCAGCCGUUGGGUGCCUAGCGCACUUUGUGGCGAA